Molecule: ribosomal RNA, 115 nt
Filed under: Triticum dicoccoides
Lineage: Eukaryota; Viridiplantae; Streptophyta; Magnoliopsida; Poales; Poaceae
Description: rRNA LSU_rRNA_eukarya
Rfam family: Eukaryotic large subunit ribosomal RNA
Source: RNAcentral
UUGGGUCUGAAUGUCAAAGUGAAGAAAUUCAACCAAGCGCGGGUAAACGGGGAGUAACUAUGACUCUCUUAAGGUAGCCAAAUGCCUAGUGAUCUAACUAGUGACGCGCAUGAAU